This 287-nucleotide ribosomal RNA is filed under the name uncultured bacterium. RNAcentral's name for it is "partial 16S ribosomal RNA". It matches the Rfam family "Bacterial small subunit ribosomal RNA", at positions 29 to 308 of the family's 1533-position model. The record is from RNAcentral.
AAUGAACGCUAGCGGCAGGCUUAAUACAUGCAAGUCGAGGGGCAGCAGGUCUGUAGCAAUACAGAUGCUGGCGACCGGCAAACGGGCGCGGAACACGUACAGAACCUUCCUUUAAGCGGGGAAUAGCCCAGAGAAAUUUGGAUUAAUACCCCAUAGUAUUAUUGAGUGGCAUCACUUGAUGAUUAAAGAUUUAUCACUUAAAGAUGGCUGUGCGGCUGAUUAGGUAGUUGGCGGGGUAACGGCCCACCAAGCCUGCGAUCAGUAACUGGUGUGAGAGCACGACCAGU